AACGAACGCUGGCGGCAUGCCUAACACAUGCAAGUCGAAGGAGACUUCGGUCGAAUGAUUUCGAGGAUAGUGGCGGGCGGGUGAGUAACGCGUGAGCAACCUGCCUUUGUGAGGGGGAUAACACAGGGAAACUUGUGCUAAUACCGCAUGACGCAUACUGAUUGCAUAUUUGGUAUGUUAAAGGAGAAAUCCGCACAAAGAUGGGCUCGCGUCUGAUUAGAUAGUUGGUGAGGUAACGGCUCACCAAGUCGACGAUCAGUAGCCGGACUGAGAGGUUGAACGGCCACAUUGGAACUGAGAUACGGUCCAG
This 310-nucleotide ribosomal RNA is filed under the name uncultured bacterium. RNAcentral describes it as "bacterial SSU rRNA". It matches the Rfam family "Bacterial small subunit ribosomal RNA", at positions 29 to 334 of the family's 1533-position model. The record is from RNAcentral.